RNAcentral lists this transfer RNA (74 nucleotides) under Portunus trituberculatus (swimming crab). RNAcentral's name for it is "tRNA-Ala". It matches the Rfam family "tRNA". Rfam says of the family: Transfer RNA (tRNA) molecules are approximately 80 nucleotides in length. Their secondary structure includes four short double-helical elements and three loops (D, anti-codon, and T loops). The record is from RNAcentral. Lineage: Eukaryota; Metazoa; Arthropoda; Malacostraca; Decapoda; Portunidae.
CGCCCGGUAGCUCAGUGGUUAGAGCGCUGGCUUCGCAAGCCAGAGGACCGAGGUUCGAUUCCCCGGCCGGGUAG